This is a long non-coding RNA of Salvia splendens (bonfire salvia), 418 nucleotides long. RefSeq lists it as uncharacterized. Lineage: Eukaryota; Viridiplantae; Streptophyta; Magnoliopsida; Lamiales; Lamiaceae. The transcript is spliced from 2 exons. The record is from RefSeq and is a predicted model, not a curated record.
CAGUUAAGUUUAGGCAAAGUCAACGAACUGAUCCAUUUUGGGAUGUGGAAUGCAACUAGAGGAAGCCCACGGAUCAGAUUCUUCAGAUGCGAGGGCAUCGAAUCUGAACUGAAGAAGGCUGCAAGGGAGUACUUUGAGAGGGAGGACGGUGUGCAGGUAGACUUAGCCAGGAGGAGAGUCUACCUCCCCCGUAUUAUCAAGUGGUACAGUGCUGAUUUCUGUCAAGAGAAACAACUCCCGAAUUGGAUCAUCAACUACUUGGAUGCAAGUAAGGCAGGUCUUUUGACGCAUCUCCUUAGUUAUGGGGGGUCUGUCAACAUAGCCUACCAGGAUUAUGACUGGUCUCUUAACCUCUGAUCAACCCAUGAUGUGUAUUCUUCUACAAAACAUUAUAUAUAUAGAUAUAGAUUAUGUGGGA